RNAcentral lists this ribosomal RNA (253 nucleotides) under uncultured bacterium. RNAcentral's name for it is "partial 16S ribosomal RNA". It matches the Rfam family "Bacterial small subunit ribosomal RNA", at positions 524 to 776 of the family's 1533-position model. The record is from RNAcentral.
UACGUAGGCAGCGAGCGUUGUUCGGAGUUACUGGGCGUAAAGGGUGCGUAGGCGGUUUAUUAAGUCAGAGGUGAAAGCCCGGAGCUCAACUUCGGAACUGCCAUUGAUACUGAUAGACUUGAGUACAGAUGAAGUGGGCGGAAUGUGACAAGUAGCGGUGAAAUGCUUAGAUAUGUCACAGAACACCGAUUGCGAAGGCAGCUCACUAAAGUGUAACUGACGCUGAGGCACGAAAGCGUGGGGAUCAAACAGG